CAACAACAUUCGUUCCAUAUUCCGUUGUCAACAAAAAUAAUUAAUUAUUUUUACACCAAUGUAAAUUAAUGCAUCGAUUCUUUAUGUAGCAAUAAUAUACCCUUGAGUUUUUUCUUAAUUGUACGCUUGUCUCUUCCUUUAUUUCAAUAAGACGGUCCAUGUUGGUACUUUCAGACUAACUUAGUUAAUAUAAGUUUGUAAUAUACGUUCUUUUUUAAAAACGAAUAAGAUGCCUCAAGUUGUUUUAUUGUUCAGUGGCAAAAGAAAGUCUGGAAAGGAUUUUUUGACUGAUCAUUUGCAAAAUAUGUUAAGAGACAAAUGUGAAAUCAUCAAAAUAUCUAAGCCCAUUAAAAGUCACUGGGCUAAAGAAAAAAACUUAAAUUUGGAUGAAUUAUUAAGUGAUGGUAAAUACAAAGAGCAGUACCGUUUGGAUAUGAUACAAUGGAGUGAGGAGAUGAGAUUUAAAGAUUAUGGAUGCUUCUGUCGUUCUGCAUGUGAAAAUGCUGUGGAUAGACCAGUAUGGAUUGUCAGUGAUAUUAGACGGAAAACUGACAUUCAGUGGUUCAAGGAAAAUUACGGUGAUGCUAUAAGAAAAAUACGAAUUACUGCUGAUGAUGAUACAAGGAAAGCGAGAGGAUAUAAUUUCCAAUUAGGAGUUGAUGAUGUUGCGUCAGAAUGUGAUUUGGAUGAUUAUAAUGAUUGGGAUCUUGUUAUAAACAAUAGUAAAAAUGGACAAAGUUUAGAAGAACAAAUAAGUGCUAUUUCAACAUUGAUAAAACAUGUGUAAUUUAUAAGAGCCAAUAGCUUAUUGGUUAAGGAUAUGGUUUACAUGGUUGUGGGUUUGAAUCCCUCCGUUCAAAUAUUAUGCCACAAGCUUAUAGCUCGAUUGCAAUGGUGACGAGAAAUAUUAGGAAAUUAAUAAAAAGUAUUAUGGAGUGGAAAUAACUUUUUAUGAAUCCUUGCGAUACAGAGAGGAUGUAUAGUGGAUAAUAACUGUAUGUGUAUGUAUUGUUAUUCAUGUUUCUAAAAAUAUCAAGAAAAUUACUAAGAGAUUGAUAGAUUAUUAUAUGAAUAUAGAUGUAGAUAAGAUUGAUUAAGUACAGGGUGGUAUAAAAUAAAAUUACUCUGCUUUUAUAAUUUUAGUUAUUUAUUUUUUUAAUUUUCAUACAGGAUUUGUAUCAAUUUUUGUAUUGAAGAAUUAUUAUUUAUUUAUUUAUUUUAAAAUGAAUCUCUUAACAAAGUAUUUACAUUGUCUUGGUGUGUGUGUUUUAAUUUUAUACAUGUUCGUUGGAUCUAAUUUGAAUUUAUUUUGGUGGAAGAAUGUAUUCAA
This is an RNA transcript of Papilio xuthus (Asian swallowtail), 1330 nucleotides long. It is a transcript of the gene named phosphomevalonate kinase, with no coding region annotated. The record is from RefSeq and is a predicted model, not a curated record. Lineage: Eukaryota; Metazoa; Arthropoda; Insecta; Lepidoptera; Papilionidae. The transcript has 4 exons.